This 64-nucleotide transfer RNA is filed under the name Megalodontes spiraeae. RNAcentral describes it as "tRNA-Tyr". Lineage: Eukaryota; Metazoa; Arthropoda; Insecta; Hymenoptera; Megalodontesidae. The record is from RNAcentral.
GGUAAAAUGGCUGAUUUAGGUAAUAAAUUGUAAAUUUAUUUAUGAGAUUAUUUCUCUUUUACCA